This 1759-nucleotide long non-coding RNA is filed under the name Homo sapiens (human). RNAcentral's name for it is "HSALNT0126703". The record is from RNAcentral. Lineage: Eukaryota; Metazoa; Chordata; Mammalia; Primates; Hominidae.
GGAAGUAACGAGUAAAAUGAUGGUUAUCAGCCUUCCUUUCAUUUGUGUUCAUUUUGUUUUUGAAAGAUUCUCCCCAACGCCCGAAAGCUUGAAGGAAUGAGUAACUCCUCUCUUCUCAGGCCCAGUCCCAAGGCACAAGGCCACUUGUACCAGCAGCGUGAGUCAGCAAGAUAGCAGAAGCAGGAAGAGAGCCGGCCAGAAGACACCUACCCUGGCCGGAAGACACGUACCCCUGAAGAUCGAGAAACAGGCCAUCUGGGUACCACAUAGCAGUUACAUCAGACUGGGACAAUUCCUGUUUACGGAAGACUAUAAAACCCUGCCCCCUACUCAUUUGGUGCUGACGCCAUUUUAGGCCUUAGCCUGCCUGCACCCAGGCGCUCAUUAAAACAGCAGGUUGCUCCACACUGCCUCGUGUUGUCUGUUGGCACACUCUCAAGAGUUUGAACGGAUACAAGAAUCUUUCAUCUGGUGCCGAAACCCGGGAGGGGCUCCGGUCUUCGUCCCCCGUGGACCUACCCCUCCGCCCCAGAAAGCAGGCCACAGCAGCCGGACAAAGGAAGCUCCUCAGCCUCCAGUUGCUUCUCUGUGCAUGCACAUCAGUCACUGAUCUCACCUACUGGGAGUGAAGAUGGAAUGAGAAGAACAGAGAAACAAUGACAGAGUCCUUACAAACACCAUGAUACAAGAAGGCAAUGGGGAUAUGUUAUCCUAAAGGAAUCCUAAAAGAAGUGAUCAAAAAGGUGAACAGAAAACCAAGUGGGAGUACUGUCACUGAGGAUGAGUUUCCAGAGAGAAUUAAUGCUGAAGAAGCUAUUGCAGACACUGCUGAGUAUGAAGAACUAAUUGGAGAAGGAAGCCGUUGUAUAGCAGAUGCAGAGCAGCAGCAAAAAUGGUAAUGAAAAUAGAAGAUAAAUUAGAAAAUUUGGAAAAACCCAAACAGAUCAGCCAUAUUGAAGGGAAAAAGAAAAACAAAACAAAGUGGGAGGGCAGAAAUGUAGAACGGUAUACACUCUUUUAACCCCAAGGAUGAAUGUAGCCAAGAACACAGUGGGGACUUAGGAGUCUCAGCACAGAGCAUUCUCUACUCCCUACUGCUCAGGCAAAGAACUCCUUCAUCAUGCAGAACCAAAACUGGUGUAGAGUCUUAAAUGACCUGGGUAUCUCUACGCAGAAGAAAGCGCUUUCCAUGUAAAAGGAUUAACUUGAACCUGGGUGCUCAAGGGACACCCUAGGCUGCUUAUCCCACUGAUUCUGAUCUGACUGUGUUAAGUAAUAAAUCAUGUGGUUACAUAUUCACAUUAUCUUGUGUAGUUUUCUCUCACAUUGCUACUUAAAGAGAAACCCCAGACACAAUAAUGAGGGAGCUCAGUAUAAGGGUAUGAAGAGAUCCAGGCAAGCUAUAACCUGGAGAGCUCCUUGCCCUUCAGAAGGUGAGACCACUCAGAAUGAGGGAGAAAACGUGGCCCAGCCCACUUUAUGAGGAAGCUACAAACAGAAUUCUUAGAAGACAGCAGCCAAGGGAGUAGCAGGGAUGGGGACAGGGAGGGCUGAGACUAGAAACUCACAGAGGAACAAACAAUUGAGUAAACUGGAAACAAGUAACCACAAAAGCACUAGAAAAUAAAAUGAAAGCUUUGCAUGAAUAAUUGACAAAUUUGAUCUUCCUUGUGAAUGCAGAAGAAGGAACUAGAAACAAAAGAUAAUGAGGCCGCUUUCUCUGCUUUGAUCUGAAGGACAACUUUCUAAUUAUCUGAUC